UACGGGGGGGGCAAGCGUUGUUCGGAAUUACUGGGCGUAAAGGGCUCGUAGGCGGCCAACUAAGUCGGAUGUGAAAUCCCCAGGCUCAACCUGGGAACUGCAUCCGAUACUGGAUGGCUUGAAUUCGGGAGAGGGAUGCAGAAUUCCAGGUGUAGCGGUGAAAUGCGUAGAUAUCAGGAGGAACACCGGUGGCGAAGGCGGAUCUCUGGGCCUUACCUGACGCUCAGGCGCGAAAGCUAGGGGAGCGAACAGG
This 253-nucleotide ribosomal RNA is filed under the name uncultured bacterium. Its description in RNAcentral is "partial 16S ribosomal RNA". It matches the Rfam family "Bacterial small subunit ribosomal RNA", at positions 524 to 776 of the family's 1533-position model. The record is from RNAcentral.